RNAcentral lists this long non-coding RNA (1231 nucleotides) under Cyanistes caeruleus (blue tit). RNAcentral describes it as "lncRNA (ENSCCEG00000014972.1)". The record is from RNAcentral. Lineage: Eukaryota; Metazoa; Chordata; Aves; Passeriformes; Paridae.
CAGAAACCAAAGGCAUGGCAUAGGUUAGGACUCGUGUUCCAAAUUCAGCCAUCCUUCCCUCACCACCACCUGCUGGCCCUUCCACAGGUACUUUACAGAAGUACAGAUAACCCAGUAUUUCCUUGCUGGGGUGACAACUGUUUAGAAAAAGGUGUUGGAGGAGUUGAGAGGACUGACAAUCACCCCAUGUUCAGGAAGUUUCUCUAUCCUCUCCCUAUGAACAACUCACUGCAUGGCUGAGGGUGAGUCUGCCAAGCAACCUCUCAAAGGCCAUUGCUCUUGGGAUUAGAAAGCUCUCCUCUGUUCCAAGAAAAAAAAAACACUACCACCAGUAUUUUAGGACAUAUUUGUUUUCAUGAGCUCUGUUCCAGUGAUCAUUUUGGAAGGCUGCCUAAAGCUGAAGACGAGAAGAGGCACUGCUGCAGAAUUCAACUUUAGACUUUGAGCUUUAACGAGCGUGACCUUCUCCCAAAACCUGCCAGGCUUGGCAGCUCUCUGAGAGCUCCUUUUCACACACCAACAUCAAACAGUUUCUCCCUGCAACUCUGUCUCAGGAAGAAAAUAGGAUUUGCAGUAGUCACAGACAGUACAAAAGCACCACAAGACCAGGAACAGCUGAAGGAAAGGACACAGCAGCCACAGAUGCUGUUUACACCCGGGCUGCAUCAGGGACUCAGAGCAGGCUGCAGAUACCUCUUAUACAUGACUUACAUCAAUUAAAUUUCUGCUAAAGCAGAAAACUGCAGCUGGAAACUCCAAGCAGACUUCAGCCCUAUUUUCCUGUGUGAGCAGGAGAGAGAAGGUUGAGCAUCUCACCAGACUCUCAGAUCAUAUGGUUAUUGAAAGGCUCAGGCCAAUUUUUUUGGUGUUCUCUGCCUCAAGAGCCUAACCCAGUUCCUAGGUCUGAACUCUCCCUGUUUUCACAAGCUUUUAAUUUUCCAGGGGUUUGUGGCAGAAGACAGAAGCUAGCUUAGCCUUGAAAGCCCAGGCCUACUGGAUGUUAAUAUGUAACAUCUUAAGUUUUAUCAGUUCCAGACAUAUUUCUUGACUCAUCCUUCAAAACUGCCUCAAGCCCAUCAAUAACUUCCAGCAAGGAGGAAGAGAGGCUGCUGGCAGCUUCAAAAGAGUACUCCAGCAUAUGCUUGCACCUUGAAACAAGCUCUGUGGAGCUCUGAGCUAAAAAGCACUCUUAGAUAAUCUUUCCAGCAUGCUCCCUACUCUUAUGCCUAUU